UGAGGAAUAUUGGUCAAUGGGCGGGAGCCUGAACCAGCCAAGCCGCGUGAGGGAGGAAGGCCCUAUGGGUCGUAAACCUCUUUUGUCAGGGAACAAAAGCGAGUAUGUAUACUAGUCUGAAUGUACCUUAAGAAAAAGACAUCGCUAAGCUACCCGUGCCAGCAGCCGCGGUAAUACGGAGGAUGCGAGCGUUAUCCGGAUUUAUUGGGUUUAAAGGGUGCGUAGGCGGCGGUGCAAGUCAGCGGUAAAAGCCCGGGGCUCAACCCCGGCGAGCCGUUGAAACUGCAGUGCUAGAGAAGGCGAGAGGUACGCGGAAUGCGCAGUGUAGCGGUGAAAUGCUUAGAUAUUGCGCAGAACUCCGAUUGCGAAGGCAGCGUACUGGCGCCUGACUGACGCUGAGGCACGAAAGCGUGGGGAUCGAACAGGAUUAGAUACC
RNAcentral lists this ribosomal RNA (436 nucleotides) under uncultured bacterium. RNAcentral's name for it is "bacterial SSU rRNA". It matches the Rfam family "Bacterial small subunit ribosomal RNA", at positions 355 to 786 of the family's 1533-position model. The record is from RNAcentral.